Molecule: ribosomal RNA, 773 nt
Filed under: uncultured Nitrososphaerota archaeon
Lineage: Archaea; Thermoproteati; Nitrososphaerota
Description: bacterial SSU rRNA
Rfam family: Archaeal small subunit ribosomal RNA
Source: RNAcentral
UUCCGGUUGAUCCUGCCGGACCUGACUGCUAUCGGAUUGAUACUAAGCCAUGCGAGUCAUUGUAGCAAUACAAGGCAUACGGCUCAGUAACGCGUAGUCAACCUAACCUAUGGACGGGAAUAACCUCGGGAAACUGAGAAUAAUGCCCGAUAGAACAUUAUGCCUGGAAUGGUUUAUGUUCCAAAUGAUUUAUCGCCGUAGGAUGGGACUGCGGCCUAUCAGUUUGUUGGUGAGGUAAUGGCCCACCAAGACUAUUACAGGUACGGGCUCUGAGAGGAGCAGCCCGGAGAUGGGUACUGAGACACGGGCCCAGGCCCUAUGGGGCGCAGCAGGCGAGAAAACUUUGCAAUGUGCGAAAGCACGACAAGGUUAAUCCGAGUGGUUUCUGCUAAAGAAACCUUUUGUCAGUCCUAGAAACACUGAUGAAUAAGGGGUGGGCAAGUUCUGGUGUCAGCCGCCGCGGUAAAACCAGCACCUCAAGUGGUCAGGAUGAUUAUUGGGCCUAAAGCAUCCGUAGCCGGCUCUGUAAGUUUUCGGUUAAAUCUGUACGCUCAACGUACAGGCUGCCGGGAAUACUGCAGAGCUAGGGAGUGGGAGAGGUAGACGGUACUCGGUAGGAAGGGGUAAAAUCCUUUGAUCUAUUGAUGACCACCUGUGGCGAAGGCGGUCUACCAGAACACGUCCGACGGUGAGGGAUGAAAGCUGGGGGAGCAAACCGGAUUAGAUACCCGGGUAGUCCCAGCUGUAAACUAUGCAAACUCAGUGAUGCAUUU